GCCAAAGUAGAUGCUCACGCAUCUGGGAGCUCCUAUUGCAGGAGGAGGGCACUUUUAAUCUCACAUUAGUUGUGAAUCAAUGGAGACUUUGACUUAUAUGCAAUGGGAUCUUCUCUCCCUUCUCUGAAAGAGCAAAAUCAUGAUGCUCAAAAUGGCCAAAGCCCAUUGACCACAAUAAUCCACAAUGUCGAGCACCUCC
This 199-nucleotide long non-coding RNA is filed under the name Elaeis guineensis (African oil palm). RNAcentral describes it as "long non-coding RNA (EGUI_LNC000232)". The record is from RNAcentral. Lineage: Eukaryota; Viridiplantae; Streptophyta; Magnoliopsida; Arecales; Arecaceae.